Molecule: ribosomal RNA, 589 nt
Filed under: Fusarium petroliphilum
Lineage: Eukaryota; Fungi; Ascomycota; Sordariomycetes; Hypocreales; Nectriaceae
Also listed under: 41 other names
Description: partial 28S ribosomal RNA
Rfam family: Eukaryotic large subunit ribosomal RNA
Source: RNAcentral
UUGACCUCGAAUCAGGUAGGAAUACCCGCUGAACUUAAGCAUAUCAAUAAGCGGAGGAAAAGAAACCAACAGGGAUUGCCCCAGUAACGGCGAGUGAAGCGGCAACAGCUCAAAUUUGAAAUCUGGCUCUCGGGCCCGAGUUGUAAUUUGUAGAGGAUGCUUUUGGUGAGGUGCCUUCCGAGUUCCCUGGAACGGGACGCCAUAGAGGGUGAGAGCCCCGUCUGGUUGGACGCCGAACCUCUGUAAAGCUCCUUCGACGAGUCGAGUAGUUUGGGAAUGCUGCUCUAAAUGGGAGGUAUAUGUCUUCUAAAGCUAAAUACCGGCCAGAGACCGAUAGCGCACAAGUAGAGUGAUCGAAAGAUGAAAAGAACUUUGAAAAGAGAGUUAAACAGUACGUGAAAUUGUUGAAAGGGAAGCGCUUGUGACCAGACUUGGGCUUGGUUGAUCAUCCGGGGUUCUCCCCGGUGCACUCUUCCGGCCCAGGCCAGCAUCAGUUCGCCCUGGGGGACAAAGGCUUCGGGAACGUGGCUCUCUCCGGGGAGUGUUAUAGCCCGUUGCGUAAUACCCUGUGGCGGACUGAGGUUCGCGC